UCAUUACUGAGUUUACGCUCUACAACCCUUUGUGAACAUACCUAUAACUGUUGCUUCGGCGGGUAGGGUCUCCGUGACCCUCCCGGCCUCCCGCCCCCGGGCGGGUCGGCGCCCGCCGGAGGAUAACCAAACUCUGAUUUAACGACGUUUCUUCUGAGUGGUACAAGCAAAUAAUCAAAACUUUUAACAACGGAUCUCUUGGUUCUGGCAUCGAUGAAGAACGCAGCGAAAUGCGAUAAGUAAUGUGAAUUGCAGAAUUCAGUGAAUCAUCGAAUCUUUGAACGCACAUUGCGCCCGCCAGCAUUCUGGCGGGCAUGCCUGUUCGAGCGUCAUUUCAACCCUCAAGCUCUGCUUGGUGUUGGGGCCCUACAGCUGAUGUAGGCCCUCAAAGGUAGUGGCGGACCCUCCCGGAGCCUCCUUUGCGUAGUAACUUUACGUCUCGCACUGGGAUCCGGAGGGACUCUUGCCGUAAAACCCCCCAAUUUUCCAAAGGUUGACCUCGGAUCAGGUAGGAAUACCCGCUGAACUUAAGCAUAUCAAUAAGCGGAGGAAAAGAAACCAACAGGGAUUGCCUCAGUAACGGCGAGUGAAGCGGCAACAGCUCAAAUUUGAAAAA
Molecule: ribosomal RNA, 616 nt
Filed under: Colletotrichum gloeosporioides
Lineage: Eukaryota; Fungi; Ascomycota; Sordariomycetes; Glomerellales; Glomerellaceae
Description: eukaryotic LSU rRNA
Rfam family: 5.8S ribosomal RNA (bases 179-332)
Source: RNAcentral